CAGUCGCCGCGGGAAUACGUAGGGUGCGAGCGUUAAUCGGAAUUACUGGGCGUAAAGCGUGCGCAGGCGGUUGUGUAAGACAGGUGUGAAAUCCCCGGGCUUAACCUGGGAACUGCGCUUGUGACUGCACAGCUAGAGUAUGGCAGAGGGGGGUGGAAUUCCACGUGUAGCAGUGAAAUGCGUAGAGAUGUGGAGGAACACCGAUGGCGAAGGCAGCCCCCUGGGCCAAUACUGACGCUCAUGCACGAAAGCGUGGGGAGCAAACAGGAUUAGAUACCCGAGUAGUCCCUGUCUCUUAUAA
Molecule: ribosomal RNA, 301 nt
Filed under: uncultured bacterium
Lineage: Bacteria
Description: partial 16S ribosomal RNA
Rfam family: Bacterial small subunit ribosomal RNA
Source: RNAcentral